This 253-nucleotide ribosomal RNA is filed under the name uncultured bacterium. RNAcentral's name for it is "partial 16S ribosomal RNA". It matches the Rfam family "Bacterial small subunit ribosomal RNA", at positions 524 to 776 of the family's 1533-position model. The record is from RNAcentral.
UACGUAGGGUGCGAGCGUUAAUCGGAAUUACUGGGCGUAAAGCGUGCGCAGGCGGUUCGUUGUGUCGGCGGUGAAAGCCCCGGGCUCAACCUGGGAAUGGCCGUUGAAACUGGCGAACUGGAGUGUGGCAGAGGGGGGUGGAAUUCCGCGUGUAGCAGUGAAAUGCGUAGAGAUGCGGAGGAACACCGAUGGCGAAGGCAGCCCCCUGGGCUGACACUGACGCUCAGGCACGAAAGCUAGGGGAGCAAACAGG